Molecule: ribosomal RNA, 294 nt
Filed under: uncultured eukaryote
Lineage: Eukaryota
Description: partial 18S ribosomal RNA
Rfam family: Eukaryotic small subunit ribosomal RNA
Source: RNAcentral
CCCUUAGAUGUUCUGGGCUGCACGCGCGCUACACUGACGCACACAACGAGUAUCCUAGCUCGAGAGGGUUGGGUAAUCAUUUGAGAGUGCGUCGUGAUGGGGAUAGAAUAUUGUAAUUAUUACUCUUCAACGAGGAAUUCCUAGUAAGCGCGAGUCAGCAGCUCGCGUUGAUUACGUCCCUGCCCUUUGUACACACCGCCCGUCGCGAUGAUUCGGACUCUGUAAACUCGCCAUGAGUUUUAACGGAGAAAGUCUUGUGAACCUUAUCACUUGGAGGAAGGAGAAGUCGUAACA